Molecule: non-coding RNA, 49 nt
Filed under: Trypanosoma brucei brucei
Lineage: Eukaryota; Euglenozoa; Kinetoplastea; Trypanosomatida; Trypanosomatidae
Source: RNAcentral
AUAUAUAACUAGGCAAUCGUGGAUAUCGUAUAAUAGUGUGAGAUGAUAU